This 202-nucleotide unclassified non-coding RNA is filed under the name Hevea brasiliensis (rubber tree). Lineage: Eukaryota; Viridiplantae; Streptophyta; Magnoliopsida; Malpighiales; Euphorbiaceae. The record is from RNAcentral.
AGACAUCCCAGUAACCUUAUGCUUCAUCGUUACAGUGGGAAAAUACUGCAUAUCGAUUUUGGAGAUUGCUUUGAGGCUUCAAUGAAUCGAGAAAAAUUUCCUGAAAAGGUUCCUUUUCGCUUGACUAGAAUGCUUGUGAAGGCUAUGGAAGUUAGUGGCAUUGAAGGUAAUUUCAGAUCAACAUGUGAAAAUGUGAUGCAAG